RNAcentral lists this ribosomal RNA (714 nucleotides) under uncultured Inocybe. RNAcentral describes it as "eukaryotic LSU rRNA". The stretch from base 285 to 438 matches the Rfam family "5.8S ribosomal RNA". The record is from RNAcentral. Lineage: Eukaryota; Fungi; Basidiomycota; Agaricomycetes; Agaricales; Cortinariaceae.
AUUCUUGGUCAUUAGAGGAAGUAAAAGUCGUAACAAGGUUUCCGUAGGUGAACCUGCGGAAGGAUCAUUAUCGAAAUAAACAUGAACAGGCUGUUGCUGGUCCUCUCAGAGAAGACAUGUGCACGCUUGUCCUCUUUAUUUUUCCAACUGUGCACAUAUUGUAGACCUGGAUGUUGUUUUUGAGGACUGCCGUGCUUUGUUGAACGGCUUUGCCUUGUUUCCAGGUCUAUGUUACAUUUAACAACAUGUUUCAGAAUGUUGAGUACUGGGGAUAACAAAUAUACAACUUUCAGCAACGGAUCUCUUGGCUCUCGCAUCGAUGAAGAACGCAGCGAAAUGCGAUAAGUAAUGUGAAUUGCAGAAUUCAGUGAAUCAUCGAAUCUUUGAACGCAUCUUGCGCUCCUUGGUAUUCCGAGGAGCAUGCCUGUUUGAGUGUCAUUAACUUCUCAACCACAUCUGGGUGUGGCUUGGAUUUGGGGGUCUUUUUUCUGCAGGCUUUUAAAGAAAGUCUGCUCCCCUGAAAAGCAUUAGUGGUAUCUGAGCAGAUAAAACUACCUUGGGUGUGAUAACUAUCUAUGUCCUCGGUGUAUAUAAAUGCAUGCUGCUUCUGAACUUUUGCGUCUUGCGCAUUUGACAAACUUGACCUCAAAUCAGGUAGGAUUACCCGCUGAACUUAAGCAUAUCAAUAAGCGGAGGAAAAGAAACCAACCAAUC